Molecule: ribosomal RNA, 253 nt
Filed under: uncultured bacterium
Lineage: Bacteria
Description: partial 16S ribosomal RNA
Rfam family: Bacterial small subunit ribosomal RNA
Source: RNAcentral
UACGUAGGUGACCAGCGUUGUCCGGAUUUACUGGGCGUAAAGAGCGCGCAGGCGGUCGUUCAAGUCGAGUGUGAAAGCCCCCGGCUCAACUGGGGAGGGUCACUCGAUACUGAUCGACUUGAAGGCAGGAGAGGGAAGCGGAAUUCUCGGUGUAGAGGUGAAAUUCGUAGAUAUCGAGAGGAACACCGGUGGCGAAGGCGGCCUUCUGGACGGCGACUGACGCUGAGACGCGAAAGCGUGGGGAGCAAACAGG